UCUGGUUGAUCCUGCCAGUAGUCAUAUGCUUGUCUUAAAGAUUAAGCCAUGCAUGUCUAAGUAUAAACACUUUGUACUUGUGAAACUGCGAAUGGCUCAUUAAAUCAGUUAUAAUUUAUUUGAUGGUCCUUUACUACUUGGAUAACCGUGGUAAAUCUAGAGCUAAUACAUGCACAAAAUCCUGACUGCUUUCGGGUAGGAGGGAUGUAUUUAUUAGAUUCAAAAGCCAAUGCCAUUCUUCGGAGUGGAAAUUUUUUAUAUGGUGAAUCAUGAUAACUUUACGAAUCGCAUAGUCUUGUACUGGCGAUAGUUCAUUCAAAUACCUGCCCUAUCAACUUUCGAUGGUAGUAUAGAGGACUACCAUGGUGGUAACGGGUAACGGAGAAUCAGGGUUUGAUUCCGGAGAAGGAGCCUGAGAAACGGCUACUACUUCCAAGGAAGGCAGCAGGCGCGCAAAUUACCCAAUCCCGACACGGGGAGGUAGUGACAAAAAAUAACAAUACCGGUCUUAUUAAAGUCUGGUAAUUGGAAUGAGUACAAUCUAAAACCUUUAACGAGUAUCAAUUGGAGGGCAAGUCUGGUGCCAGCAGCCGCGGUAAUUCCAGCUCCAAUAGCAUAUAUUAAAGUUGUUGCAGUUAAAAAGCUCGUAGUUGGAUUUUGAUGAUACUUUUCAUAACCUGCCUUGUAUAAGGUAUGUUUGUUGUGAAUCGUACAUCUCCUUACUAGACUUUCAUGGUUGUACUUAAUUGAAUGACCAUUUCAUUCUGAUUCGUUAGGGUGGGUGAUGAGUAGACCUAUUGGGUUCGAGAUUGUGGAUGAAUUUCUUCGGAGAUUGGUUCUGCUUGGAUUCAAUAACUAUUUAUUAGAAAUCUAGUUCAUUUACUUUGAGUAAAUUAGAGUGUUCAAGGCAAGCAAAUUUGUUUCUGCAAUGAAUACUAUUAGCAUGGGAUAAUGGAACAGGACACGUAUUCUAGUUUUCCGUUGGUUUCUAGAAUUUUUAGUCACUCUUUUUGGAGUGGCGAAGUGUAAUGAUUAAAAGGGACAGUUGGGGGCAUUCGUAUUUCAUUGUCAGAGGUGAAAUUCUUGGAUUUAUGAAAGACGAACUUCUGCGAAAGCAUUUGUCAAAGAUGUUUUCAUUAAUCAAGAACGAAAGUUAGGGGAUCGAAGACGAUCAGAUACCGUCGUAGUCUUAACCAUAAACUAUGCCGACCAGGGAUUGGAA
RNAcentral lists this ribosomal RNA (1222 nucleotides) under metagenome. RNAcentral's name for it is "SSU rRNA". It matches the Rfam family "Eukaryotic small subunit ribosomal RNA", at positions 1 to 1058 of the family's 1831-position model. The record is from RNAcentral.